AGCUCUGAGGUCACUUAAAAUGUGUAUGACGUUGAAAGUCAAAUCGAGUAUUUUUUUUUCUUUUAUAACUGUUAACAAAAUAUGUCUGUCCACGUCUUAAAAUAACCAUGCAUUUCAAAAUACCUGAAGACCGACGUUUCCACAUCCAAGCCGAUAAUUGAGCUGCACACUGGGGGCUGCUGGGAUUGACUUCAGCUCCCUUUGAGACCCUGAAUACUUAAGAAGGAAGAGGAAGAAACAGAGAGGAGAGGGGAAUGGUAGCAGCUCACUGCUCCCUCCCUGUCGAUGAUGUAAUGUCAUGAAUAUUGAAACAGGUUCCUCGGUGCUCGGGAGGCGCUGGAGUCAGCAUCCCUUCUGCCUCCUGCUCAUCAUCACCACUGCCCUUCAGCAUCCGACAAAUCAACAAGAAAAAGCGGAGCAGAUAUUGAUGAAGGGAAUGGACGAUGCUGAGGAUGAGCUGAGUCUCUGACACCAUGAUGAACCCAUCCUCCGCCGACUCGGCGCGGCAGUCAGACAAUAGCAGCCGCAAACAGCCGCGCUCCUCAUCGCCGGCAGGACUCAAAGACGGUGGCUCGAAGGCUGCUGCACAGAAGGGCAGCAACUCCUCCAAGCUGCUCACAUCAAAGCAGGGAGGAGUAGGUGGUGCAGGAGGCAGUGGAGGUGGUGGUGGUGGUGGUGGAGG
This is a long non-coding RNA of Cynoglossus semilaevis (tongue sole), 682 nucleotides long. RefSeq lists it as uncharacterized. The record is from RefSeq and is a predicted model, not a curated record. The transcript has 4 exons. Lineage: Eukaryota; Metazoa; Chordata; Actinopteri; Pleuronectiformes; Cynoglossidae.